Molecule: long non-coding RNA, 759 nt
Organism: Daphnia magna
Lineage: Eukaryota; Metazoa; Arthropoda; Branchiopoda; Diplostraca; Daphniidae
Exons: 2
Source: RefSeq, a predicted model, not a curated record
UCUGGACUGGACGUUUCACUGAGGCUUUUGUCAUUGGUUCUGAAAUGUUCAUUUUGGAAAAAAGAAAUUUUAGAAAAUAUUAAGGUUGACAUAUUUUUGCCUCUUAAAAACCUUUGAUUAAAAUAGGAUAUCGUUAUUUUUUUUAGACAGGAGAAACGACACAUGUCUUUUGGCUGAGGGGGGGCAGCACGUACUUGACUGGUGUCGUUGGCUGCUCGAUAGUCAACGUCAGAUAGAAAGUCGAAGCUUUUUCUUUGUUUCCAGUGGCACCGUAAGUGGGUGACACGAUAGUCAUGCGGCGUCGAAUUUGGCGCAUCGCCCAUGUGCCUUUCUUCUUCUGUUCACCGCUGUUUGGACGGACCUCCGGAUGAGCUGGAGAAGUUGGCGGCGAUGGCGAAUAGAUCGGCUCUUUAUUGGCUGCUCCAUUGUUGCCCUUAUCCGGAGACACUUCCCGUCUCGAAGCGGAUGCUUUAAAGACUUCACUCAAAUCUGCUACGCUUGCCGUGCUCUUCUUCUUGAUGCGCGUGAUGGAUUUACCAAUGUCCGUCUUGGUCGUGGUCCAAUUACGACGCAGUCGGCGCAUUUGCUCACCAGCUAAAUCAGCGAAUCGACCGAUUUUCACUUGACCCGACCGUAACGAUGGAUCUUCGCUCUCCUUGGAUCGUUCCGAACCUGAUCUCGAUCCAGGACGUUCUCUCGACGUAUCCGAUGUUGCAUCCUUUUUUAUUAACAUUUAAAUGAAUUAAAUAAUAUUUUUUU